GUACACUCCUGCGGGAGGCAGCAGUGGGGAAUAUUGGACAAUGGGCGCAAGCCUGAUCCAGCCAUGCCGCGUGAGUGAUGAAGGCCCUAGGGUUGUAAAGCUCUUUCACCGGUGAAGAUAAUGACGGUAACCGGAGAAGAAGCCCCGGCUAACUUCGUGCCAGCAGCCGCGGUAAUACGAAGGGGGCUAGCGUUGUUCGGAUUUACUGGGCGUAAAGCGCACGUAGGCGGACUAUUAAGUCAGGGGUGAAAUCCCGGGGCUCAACCCCGGAACUGCCUUUGAUACUGGUAGUCUUGAGUUCGAGAGAGGUGAGUGGAAUUCCGAGUGUAGAGGUGAAAUUCGUAGAUAUUCGGAGGAACACCAGUGGCGAAGGCGGCUCACUGGCUCGAUACUGACGCUGAGGUGCGAAAGCGUGGGGAGCAAACAGGAUUAGAAACCCGAGUAGUCCCAU
This 451-nucleotide ribosomal RNA is filed under the name uncultured organism. RNAcentral's name for it is "partial 16S ribosomal RNA". It matches the Rfam family "Bacterial small subunit ribosomal RNA", at positions 331 to 798 of the family's 1533-position model. The record is from RNAcentral.